Long non-coding RNA from Peromyscus californicus insignis, 1153 nucleotides. RefSeq lists it as uncharacterized. The transcript has 3 exons. The record is from RefSeq and is a predicted model, not a curated record. Lineage: Eukaryota; Metazoa; Chordata; Mammalia; Rodentia; Cricetidae.
GCCUGCGCACUCCCCAGUUGAAGUUGUCCAUACUCUCUCCCUGAAAUCACACCACAGUCGGCUUUUCACGCCCCAGCCCUCUGGCACUCCUGCCAUCACACGGGUCUCACUGUAUAGCCUUGGAUGGCCUGGAACUCACUUUUGUAGAUCAGACUGGCCUCGAACUCACAGAGAUCCACCUGUCUCUUUCUCUCUCCCAAGUGCUGAGAUUAAAGGCAUGCACCACCACACCCAGCAGGUAAUGUAUAUAUUUUUAAAAGUUGAUUUUGGUAAACCCUAGAAAAUUAUUGUGUUUUCAAAAAUCUGUCUAAAAAAGGAGACUAUUAAUAUUAAAAUAACUUUAAAAUUAGUGUACACUCCCUUCUCCCACCAGCCCUGUUUAGUAGAGUUUUCAGAAGGAGAAACAAGUUUGCUCGAAGCACAUUCCAGAAUUCCUUGGCUAUUAAGUAGAAGAGCAUUAGGUAAACAUCCCAGACUGUCUGCCACAGCAGAUUCCACAGAUAAAAUGCAGAGUUAAAGGCUUGUGAGAGCCAGACAACAUUUUGGCGGGCCAUGCACUACGCUGAAGCUGCAUCCUGGCUUUUGCUUAAGGCUCAGCUUUCCAAUCAUCCCAAGCUGGGAAGUGGUUAAAUUUCUUGCCUUUGCAUCAAAGACUUCCUGCUGGCUUACCCAUUCUGACUUACUGAGAACAGGCCUAGCUGGACAUGGGAGUGUUAAAGCCUGGAGUUCUACCUCAGAUCUCUACAAAGCAUCAGCUAUUAAAUAGGUCUGUUUGGCUAACAUAAGUCUUUUUUUUUUUUUCUGCAGAAAUGAAUAUGGGAUUUGGUUUUCUGUCUCAUAAAACAGGGCUGAAGGAAGGUAUCCACCCUGAUGAUGCACAAAUUGUCAUCUGAGUGAGAAUUAGCAUUCCACCUCGAGAAGCAGUCAUCUGAAACGCGGCCUGACAGUUGCUAAAGUAAAGCGAUGCUUCCGAGGAGAGGUCAGCAGACAGCGGAGAAACCCGAGAGCCGCGAGUGAGCCUUACGUGAGACAGGGUUUCUCUGCGUCGUUCUGGCUGUCCUGGAUCUCGAUCUGUAGACCAGGCUGGUCUUGAACUCAGAAAUCCCCCUGCCUCUGCCUCCCGAGUGCUGGGAUUAAAGGUGUGCAUCACCAC